CUUGGACAGGUCACUCUGUCCACUGUGAUGAUUCUUCCUCAACAGCUCAGCCUUGGACAGGUUACUCUGUCCACUGUGAUUCUUCCUCAACAGCUCAGCCUUGGACAGGUCACUCUGUCCACUGUGAUUCUUCCUCAACAGCUCAGCCUUGGACAGGUCACUCUGUCCACUGUGAUUCUUCCUCAACAGCUCAGCCUUGGACAGGUCUCUCUGUCCAAUGUGAUUCUUCCUCAACAGCUCAGCCUUGGACAAGUACCUCUGUCCACUGUGAUUCUUCCUCAACAGCUCAGCCUUGGACAAGUACCUCUGUCCACUGUGAUUCUUCCUCAAUAGCUCAGCCUUGGACAGGUCCCUCUGUCCACUGUGAUUCUUCCUCAACAGCUCAGCCUUGGACAUGUCCCUCUGUCCACUGUGAUUCUUCCUCAACAGCUCAGCCUUGGACAUGUCCCUCUGUCCACUGUGAUUCUUCCUCAACAGCUCAGCCUUGGACAUGUCCCUCUCUCCACUGUGAUUCUUCCUCAACAGCUCAGCCUUGGACAUGUCCCUCUCUCCACUGUGAACAAUGCCAAUGUGAAUCAAUGUGAAUCACACACAAUGUCAAUGUGAAUCACACACAAUGUGAAUUAUAGACUACAUGGGUCAUUGUAUUCCUACAUUACCAUAGCUAGCCUGUUGAUACUAGCUAAUAUUAGCCAUUAGAAUGAAUGGAUUAAAGUGAAUGUAGCCAGAUACAUGUUUCCUGUCUAUUCCCUGUGGUGCAGUUUUUUAGAGACUAUUACUGAUACUAACACAUUCAGUGUCUUCUAACCUCUUUUGUUGUUGACAACAGAAGUGUGUCCAUGUCGCCGUCCCUUCAUGUGUAAUAGGAUCCUUAUGGCUGACAGCGGUGCUUUCUACCCUACUGCGGCUGUUCUGUGAUUGUCACGGUUAAGCAAUCAAUCAAUCCCACUUAUUUAUAAAGCCUUUUUUACAUCAGCAGAUGUCACAAAGUACUUAUACAGAAACCCAG
This 1009-nucleotide long non-coding RNA is filed under the name Salmo salar (Atlantic salmon). Its description in RNAcentral is "lncRNA (ENSSSAG00000112409.1)". The record is from RNAcentral. Lineage: Eukaryota; Metazoa; Chordata; Actinopteri; Salmoniformes; Salmonidae.